GUGGCAGCCGCCGCGGUAAUACGUAGGACGCAAGCGUUAUCCGGAGUUACUGGGCGUAAAGGGCAGGCAGGCGGACUGCUAAGUUGGGUGUGAAAUCUCCCAGGCUUAACCGGGAGGGCGCAUCUGAGACUGGCAGACUGGAGGGCAGCAGAGGAGCGUGGAAUUCCGGGUGGAGUGGUGAAAUGCGUAGAGAUCCGGAGGAACACCAGUGGCGAAGGCGGCUUUCUGGACCGGUUCUGACGCUGAGGAGCGAAAGCCAGGGGAGCAAACAGGAUUAGAUACCCUGGUAGUCCUGGCUGUAAACGAUGGGCACUAGGUGUGGGGGGAUCGACCCCUUCCGUGCCGCAGUUAACGCAUUAAGUGAUCCGCCUGGGGAGUACGGCCGCAAGGUUGAAACUCAAAGGAAUUGACGG
Molecule: ribosomal RNA, 413 nt
Filed under: uncultured bacterium
Lineage: Bacteria
Description: bacterial SSU rRNA
Rfam family: Bacterial small subunit ribosomal RNA
Source: RNAcentral